GGGUAACCUUUAUGGAGCCAGCCGCCGAAGGUGGGACAGAUAAUUGGGGUGAAGUCGUAACAAGGUAGCCGUAUCGGAAGGUGCGGCUGGAUCACCUCCUUUCUAAGGA
Molecule: ribosomal RNA, 109 nt
Filed under: Paenilisteria weihenstephanensis FSL R9-0317
Lineage: Bacteria; Bacillati; Bacillota; Bacilli; Caryophanales; Listeriaceae
Description: Listeria weihenstephanensis FSL R9-0317 partial 16S ribosomal RNA
Rfam family: Bacterial small subunit ribosomal RNA
Source: RNAcentral